This 266-nucleotide ribosomal RNA is filed under the name uncultured bacterium. RNAcentral describes it as "partial 16S ribosomal RNA". It matches the Rfam family "Bacterial small subunit ribosomal RNA", at positions 355 to 621 of the family's 1533-position model. The record is from RNAcentral.
UAAGGAAUAUUGCUCAAUGGCCGAAAGGCUGAAGCAGCAACGCCGCGUGAAGGAUGAAGGGAUUUUUCUUGUAAACUUCUGUAAGAGGGGAAAAAUAUCCCGGUUUACCGGGAUUGAUUGUACCUUCAGAGUAAGCCCCGGCUAACUACGUGCCAGCAGCCGCGGUAAUACGUAGGGGGCAAGCGUUGUCCGGAUUUACUGGGUGUAAAGGGUGCUCAGGCGGGUUUGUAAGUCAGAGGUGAAACUCCGAAGCUUAACUUCGGAAC